GAUGAACGGUAGCGGGAGGCCCAACACAUGCAAGCCGAGCGGUAUUGUUUCUUCGGAAAUGAGAGAGCGGCGUACGGGUGCGUAACACGUGUGCAACCUGCCUUUAUCUGGGGGAUAGCCUUUCGAAAGGAAGAUUAAUACUCCAUAAUAUAUUGAACGGCAUCGUUUAAUAUUGAAAGCUCCGGCGGAUAGAGAUGGGCACGCGCAAGAUUAGCUAGUUGGUGAGGUAACGGCUCACCAAGGCGAUGAUCUUUAGGGGGCCUGAGAGGGUGAUCCCCCACACUGGUACUGAGACACGGACCAGACUCCUACGGGAGGCAGCAGUGAGGAAUAUUGGUCAAUGGGUGCAAGCCUGAACCAGCCAUCCCGUGUGAAGGACGACUGCCCUAUGGGUUGUAAACUUCUUUUGUAUAGGGAUAAACCUACCCUCGAGAGGGUAGCUGAAGGUACUAUACGAAUAAGCACCGGCUAACUCCGUG
Molecule: ribosomal RNA, 479 nt
Filed under: uncultured bacterium
Lineage: Bacteria
Description: partial 16S ribosomal RNA
Rfam family: Bacterial small subunit ribosomal RNA
Source: RNAcentral